GCCUGACUGGUUCAGUUGGUAGAGCAUGUGACUCUUGAUCUCAGAGUUGUGGACUCAAACCCCACAUUGUGCA
This 73-nucleotide transfer RNA is filed under the name Canis lupus familiaris (dog). It matches the Rfam family "tRNA". From Rfam's summary of the family: Transfer RNA (tRNA) molecules are approximately 80 nucleotides in length. Their secondary structure includes four short double-helical elements and three loops (D, anti-codon, and T loops). Further hydrogen bonds mediate the characteristic L-shaped molecular structure. tRNAs have two regions of fundamental functional importance: the anti-codon, which is responsible for specific mRNA codon recognition, and the 3' end, to which the tRNAs corresponding amino acid is attached (by aminoacyl-tRNA synthetases). tRNAs cope with the degeneracy of the genetic code in two manners: having more than one tRNA (with a specific anti-codon) for a particular amino acid; and 'wobble' base-pairing, i.e. permitting non-standard base-pairing at the 3rd anti-codon position. The record is from Rfam by way of RNAcentral. RNAcentral also lists the same sequence under 1 other name. Lineage: Eukaryota; Metazoa; Chordata; Mammalia; Carnivora; Canidae.